AUGGAUGAAGAGCAACAUCGAGAGAGUUCAAAAUCACCUCAAAAAAAACUGAAGACAGUUGAAUUCAAGAAAAAGAAACGUGUCAGAUUUCUGUUACCCUGCAAAUCUGACAAGAAAAAGAAACUCUCUUUCCCAGGAGAUACAGAUGAGGCAGUGUUCAGAUGUGACUGCCACUACUGCCAGAAGUGCGUGGGGAACACAUCCAGGGUCUCUGUGGGAACUGGAACAGAAGCAGUUUCUCAGUCAUCCUCCUGGGAAAAGCUAACACUAGACCUCAGUAACUUGACACUCAACCCUCACACCACCCAGCCCUGUCUUGUGCAAGACACCAUACCGAAAACAGAGAACAAAACACAGUGGCAAUGGAAAAACAAAAGGGUGUUUAAAAAGGUUCUCCAUGAAUGGACAGAA
RNAcentral lists this long non-coding RNA (411 nucleotides) under Rattus norvegicus (Norway rat). RNAcentral describes it as "long non-coding RNA NONRATT034128". Lineage: Eukaryota; Metazoa; Chordata; Mammalia; Rodentia; Muridae. The record is from RNAcentral.